ACCUGGGAUAGCUCAGCAAGUAAAGCAUGAGACUCUAAUCUCAGGGUUGUGGGUUCGAGACCCAUGUUGGGCA
Molecule: non-coding RNA, 73 nt
Organism: Podarcis lilfordi (Lilford's wall lizard)
Lineage: Eukaryota; Metazoa; Chordata; Lepidosauria; Squamata; Lacertidae
Source: the annotation of a GenBank genome assembly